UUUCCGUAGGUGAACCAGCGGAAGGAUCAUUAGCGAGUCAGGGUCAUUCUGGCCCGACCUCCAACCCUUUGCUUAAUACCUAGGUUGCGUUGGCGGGCCCGUCUCACGGACGCCCGAAGUCCUAGGAGCCCUCGGCCGCGCCCACCAAUAGCCUUCUACAAACUCUUGAUCUAUUGUGAUGUUUGAGUAAUAAAUUUAAUAGUUAAAACUUUCAACAACGGAUCUCUUGGUUCUG
This 235-nucleotide unclassified non-coding RNA is filed under the name plant metagenome. RNAcentral's name for it is "partial contains small subunit ribosomal RNA, internal transcribed spacer 1, and 5.8S ribosomal RNA". The record is from RNAcentral.